GUGUCCGUUGUAAUAUUCUCACAGGCAGUUCAAACUUGCAGGGAAGCUACAAUUUUUCCAUAAACAACAUUUUUAAAGAGGAAUGAUCUGAAAUUUGGGAGGAUAUCUAGGUAAGAAGAAGCAAAUUGGGAAAGCUGGUGGUACUUUAGAAAGUCCAAAGAUGUUCUGGACCUAGCAGCCUCCCUACUUCAUAGUAUGAAUAAUGGUCAACAGGCAUAGACAUCUACCUGCAUCAGUUCUUGGAUUGGACUCCCCUUAGUCAGCACAUGAGUUCUUCUUGGAUCAUGGACACUUCAUGGUUGCAGCAGUACUCCUCUGAAGAAAAAGCUAAUGACUCUACUUUCUAAUCCCCCAAAUUAAGCAGAAUUACUUUAUAAUGAGGCACAUAAAUUCACUAGAGAUGUAAUUGAAAAAUCUUUGGUAUUUUGAAAUAAAUGCUACAGAUGCCUAUCUAAA
Long non-coding RNA from Dromiciops gliroides (monito del monte), 456 nucleotides. RefSeq lists it as uncharacterized. The record is from RefSeq and is a predicted model, not a curated record. The transcript is spliced from 3 exons. Lineage: Eukaryota; Metazoa; Chordata; Mammalia; Microbiotheria; Microbiotheriidae.